Molecule: ribosomal RNA, 526 nt
Filed under: uncultured bacterium
Lineage: Bacteria
Description: partial 16S ribosomal RNA
Rfam family: Bacterial small subunit ribosomal RNA
Source: RNAcentral
UGGGGAAUAUUGGACAAUGGGGGCAACCCUGAUCCAGCAAUGCCGCGUGUGUGAAGAAGGUCUUCGGAUUGUAAAGCACUUUCGACGGGGACGAUGAUGACGGUACCCGUAGAAGAAGCCCCGGCUAACUUCGUGCCAGCAGCCGCGGUAAUACGAAGGGGGCUAGCGUUGCUCGGAAUGACUGGGCGUAAAGGGCGUGUAGGCGGUUUACACAGUCAGAUGUGAAAUCCCCGGGCUUAACCUGGGAGCUGCAUUUGAUACGUGUAGACUAGAGUGUGAGAGAGGGUUGUGGAAUUCCCAGUGUAGAGGUGAAAUUCGUAGAUAUUGGGAAGAACACCGGUGGCGAAGGCGGCAACCUGGCUCAUGACUGACGCUGAGGCGCGAAAGCGUGGGGAGCAAACAGGAUUAGAUACCCUGGUAGUCCACGCUGUAAACGAUGUGUGCUAGAUGUUGGGUAACUUUGUUAUUCAGUGUCGCAGUUAACGCGUUAAGCACACCGCCUGGGGGGUACGGCCGCAAGGUUGAA